GGCGGCUAUGCAGGAUUGGCAGGAGCUGCGAUGCUCACACUUGCCUCGCCGACCGCCAUUUCACAUCCAGCAGAGGAGGCGGGGGCAGCCGCUGAGACGGUUUUUCACAAGGCUUUCUCCAUAUUUACGUGCUUGUAACUCUGGCAUGACCUUUGCUCCAGUCUCUACCAGAGGGCGGUGCCUGGAUUGAAGUGGAAAAGCCCUGUUUUCCAGCCAUGACCCAGGGAGCAAGCACUGACUCCUCAGGGGAACAGGAGACCUGCCAACUAGGACCCUGGGAGCCCCCAUGCUGGCAGUGCCCUGGGUCAUCUCAGGCUCAUCAGCAAAUCCUGGGGGGAGAGCGGGGCUGGAGGGCGAAGAAGCCCAGGAGAGUUCCUGGCUCAGAACCCCUCUCUGAGGCUCCCAAUACAGAGCCCAGGCCCCACACCCAGGGCCUCUGAGUAUUUUUGUUUAUUGUAUGUAAAAUACUAGUGUAUUUUUGUUUAAGUCUCACAGGUAAACAGGUUCUCUCAUACUUUGCCAAGGGAAAUGUGAUCUGUGCAAUUUGGCAAUAACUAUCAGAAUUUUAAAAGCUUA
Molecule: long non-coding RNA, 576 nt
Filed under: Homo sapiens (human)
Lineage: Eukaryota; Metazoa; Chordata; Mammalia; Primates; Hominidae
Description: non-protein coding TRAF3IP2-AS1:10
Source: RNAcentral